RNAcentral lists this transfer RNA (74 nucleotides) under Listeria monocytogenes. Its description in RNAcentral is "transfer RNA-Arg (ACG)". RNAcentral also lists the same sequence under 1 other name. Lineage: Bacteria; Bacillati; Bacillota; Bacilli; Caryophanales; Listeriaceae. The record is from RNAcentral.
UGCGCCCAAGAGGAGUCGAACCUCUAACCGCUUGAUUCGUAGUCAAGUACUCUAUCCAGUUGAGCUAUGGGCGC